RNAcentral lists this ribosomal RNA (253 nucleotides) under uncultured bacterium. Its description in RNAcentral is "partial 16S ribosomal RNA". It matches the Rfam family "Bacterial small subunit ribosomal RNA", at positions 524 to 776 of the family's 1533-position model. The record is from RNAcentral.
UACGUAGGUGACGAGCGUUAUCCGGAAUUAUUGGGCGUAAAGCGCACGCAGGCGGCCUGUCAAGUCUGACGUGAAAUCUCCCAGCUUAACUGGGAGCGGUCGUUGGAAACUGAUGGGCUUGAGGCAAGGAGAGGGGUGUGGAAUUCCCGGUGUAGUGGUGGAAUGCGUAGAGAUCGGGAGGAACAUCAGUGGCGCAAGCGGCACCCUGGCCUUGGCCUGACGCUCAGGUGCGAAAGCGUGGGGAGCAAACAGG